GCCAGCAGCCGCGGUAAUACGGAGGGGGUUAGCGUUGUUCGGAAUUACUGGGCGUAAAGCGCGCGUAGGCGGAUUAGAAAGUUGGGGGUGAAAUCCCGGGGCUCAACCCCGGAACUGCCUCCAAAACUGCUAGUCUAGAGUUCGAGAGAGGUGAGUGGAAUUCCGAGUGUAGAGGUGAAAUUCGUAGAUAUUCGGAGGAACACCAGUGGCGAAGGCGGCUCACUGGCUCGAUACUGACGCUGAGGUGCGAAAGUGUGGGGAGCAAACAGGAUUAGAUACCCUGGUAGUCCACACCGUAAACGAUGAAUGCCAGUCGUCGGAUAGUAUACUAUUCGGUGACACACCUAACGGAUUAAGCAUUCCGCCUGGGGAGUACGGUCGCAAGAUUAAAACUCAAAGGAAUUGACGGGG
This 411-nucleotide ribosomal RNA is filed under the name uncultured bacterium. RNAcentral's name for it is "bacterial SSU rRNA". It matches the Rfam family "Bacterial small subunit ribosomal RNA", at positions 507 to 918 of the family's 1533-position model. The record is from RNAcentral.